GCAUUAAUGGGGUAGUGGUAACCUGGGUCGUUGCCAUAAAUUGGAUUCCGUUGAGGUCUGUCGACCCGCCGGGGGUUCAAUUCCCUCUUAAUGCA
Mycena floridula is the source of this 95-nucleotide non-coding RNA. Lineage: Eukaryota; Fungi; Basidiomycota; Agaricomycetes; Agaricales; Mycenaceae. The record is from the annotation of a GenBank genome assembly.